Molecule: long non-coding RNA, 6457 nt
Organism: Orcinus orca (killer whale)
Lineage: Eukaryota; Metazoa; Chordata; Mammalia; Artiodactyla; Delphinidae
Exons: 2
Source: RefSeq, a predicted model, not a curated record
GCUACGGCGGCGGCACCGGAGUGGGUGGGUUUGCGUGGGGCGUGAUAGAGUUCGUAAACGACUGGACAGUCUCCCCCCAGCGGCUGGCCAGGUGCCGCUCGGCCCCCAUUUCCGGGGCCUCCCACUCGACUGAGGGGCCGGAGGAAGUCUCUUAGGAAACGGCUGUAGCGAAAGAGAACCCUUGUAUUCCACUCCACAAGGGAGCCGAGGGUCGGGUUAAGACUUCCGCGGCCUCGGCUCCGGGCGCGGAGGCAGCAGCGCCGGCCUCGCCUCUGGAACCCCUUCCCCGGCGCGCGUUGGUACGUCCCGCCGGAACCUUUCCCUGGCGCAGGCCCCGCCCCCUCCCUCCCUCCCGAGGACAACUGGCGUACCACCCACCCAUGGUUCCGUGGUACCCCGAGGACACCGUCCCCGCCGCAGGACUGUCCGGGCGUUCCCCACCCACUGCGCCGUAUUGAGAGGGAGGCUCUGGAUCUCAUUCCCCUGCCCUCCAACGUUCUGUUGGCCCCAGACGCACAAUUACAGCAGGGACCCCACUCGGAAGAGUGGUACAGGAGUUAACAACUCUGCAUCUGGCUUAGACUUCAGAAUCUGCCUGUCAACUGCGAUCACGUCGGGAUACUGUGGAGCGGUUGAGUGCCCUGUGGAGUCCGUGUGCCUAAGUUUGUAAUCUGGUUCCGCACACAUCAGCUUUGUCAUGGGACACAGGUUCGAGCCCUGGUCCUGGAAGAUCCCACGUGCUGUGGAGCAACUAAGCCUGUGCACCACAACUACUGAGCCUGUGCUUUAGAACUGUGAGCCACAACUACUGAACCCACGUGCCACAACUACUGAAGCCCACGUGCCUAGAGCCUAUGUUCUGCAACAAGAGAAGCCACCGCAAUGAGAAGCCUGUGCACCACAACAAAGAGUAGCCCCCACUCGCCGCAACUAGAGACAGCCCACGCGCAGCAACGAAGACCCAGCACAGCCAAAAAUAAAUAAAAUAAAUAAAUUAAAAAGAAUAAAAAAUAAAAAGGGGCUUCCCUGGUGGCGCAGUGGUUGAGAGUCCGCCUGCCGAUGAAGGGGACACGGGUUCGUGCCCCGGUCCGGGAAGAUCCCACAUGCCACGGAGUGGCUGGGCCUGUGAGCCAUGGCCGCUGAGCCUGUGCGUCCGGAGCCUGUGCUCCGCAACAGGAGAGGCCACAACAGUGAGAGGCCUGUGUACCGCAAAAAAAAAAUAAAAUAAAAAAAUAAAAAGAAUCCGCCUGCCAAUGCAGGGGACACGGGUUCAAUCCUGGUCCAGGAAGAUCCCACAUGCCACAGAGCAACUAAGCCCAUGCGCCACAACUACUGAGCCUGCACUCUGGAGCCUGCGAGCUACAACUACUGAGCCCACGUGCCACACUACUGAAUCCCGCGUGCCGAGAAUCCAUGUUCCGCAACAAAAGAAGCCACCACAAUGAGAAGCCCGUGCACUGCAGUGAAGAGUAGCCCCUGCUUGAUGCAACUAGAGAAAACCUGUGCACAGCAACGAAGACCCAACACAACCAUAAAUAAAUAAAUAAAUAAAUAAAUAAUUUAAAAAAAUGUUAGAGUGAAGCUGUACAUUUUUUUUAAAAAAGAAAUGAUUUAGCCCUCCACUAUCAUAUUUUCCACACACCUCCUGCCUGUGAAUUGUUUCUUGACUCUCCUUUUUUAAAAAAAUAUUUAUUUGGUUGCGCCGGGUCCUGGCUGCAGCACGAGGGAUCUUUGUUGUGGCAUGCAGGAUCUUUAGUAGCAGCAUGUGGGAUCUUUUUUAGUUGCAGCACAUGGGAUCUUAGUUGCAGCAUGCAUGUGGGAACUAGUUCCCUGACCAAGGAUCAAACCCAGGCCCCCUGCAUUGGGAGCAUGGAGUCUUAGCCACUGGACCACCUGGGAAGUCCAGGUUCUUGACUCUUUAGUAGGAAUUUUAGUGCUAGAUUAUUUACUUUAACUGGUACUGGAGGUACCCUGCCCAAGAUUUUCUUCAAUUUCCUCUUCACGGUACUCCAAGCUAUCCUUUGAGUUCUAAUUAUACCUUGUUCUAAUUUGUCAGAAGAGUGUAUCUGUUUGCUUUACAUUCAGCUUCUACCAAGCUCUUUAUACCUUGUGAUUUAUGAGGAAAUUGUUUUGUCACCUGCCACAAUUAUUUAGCAUUGAAUUUGUAAUUCCAGAAAGUGCCAAUAAAGCAGGAAGGAGAAGUACUUUUUUCUCCAUAGAGCUGUGGAAGCACAGGUAAAGUAUUGAGAACCAGUAUAUGAAUAAGAAGACAAAUAAUGUCUGACAUUUUAGUUUUAGUUUGGCAUUUUUUUGAGAGGGAGAAGGAGAAAACUUAAAAAUUCAACUUUAUAAAAGAAGCUAAAUAAUGGAAACUUAAAAAACAAACCAAAAUCCAAGAUAAUGUUGGCAGAGAGAGAAGAGUUAGAGGAAAAAGAGAACCAACUAAAUGCUGUAGAGUCAGCUGGGCAACUCUUGAAUUAGGAUUGAUUUAUAGUAUGCCUUACACUGGGGACUGGAAGAUGAGGUCCCAGCACAGAAUAAGCAGGGGCCAGGUGCAGCCAUGCCACGCCACACCAUCAUCAUUGUCAUUUAGGCCAUGGAGACAAGUCAGGUCAGGCAAGUCAGGUCACGUCACAUAUACAUAUUUAUGUUAUGGGUGAUGACCCCAGAGCUUUGGUAAAGUAUCCAGCACAGAGUAGGUGCUAAAUAAAUAUUGAGUGAUGAAUGAGUAUCAGAAUAAGAUUAAGUAAGUUUUCAAGUCAAGUAGUUUUAAGAUGAGCAGUGUUUCAAGGGAUAUUCCAGGGAAACAUUAGCUGUAUAAGGGGCUUUACAGACUAAAGUCUUUGCCCCCAGCUAUCUCAGAUACUUUGAUGGAGACAUCUUAGUGGCGAAACUUGUUCUAUCUUAAAGUGUCCAAUUUAAGACUGGAUUGGGCCUGCUGAGGAUGAGCCUUGUAAUCCAUUUAGAAACUGAGACUGUCUUAGGAUGGGAAUCAAGAGGACUUGAGAUUAUGCUUGAAAGAGAUUCUUUUCUUGGACCCGAGGUUCCGCUGGAAAAUUGUGCUGUCCUCACUUAGGGACUUUGCUAAUUUAGCCUUUGGGUAGAACAUGUCACCUUUUAUGGCAUCAGAAUUCUGAAAUCAUGUAACUAACUUAUAUCCAUAGACUGAGUCAUGACACAUGGUUGUGGGUUGCUAUCCGAAGGGGGAAUAAAAUGAGAAAGGGAGAUGGAGGAAAAGAGAAGGCUUCAUUCACUUAGUUAAUACAACAAACGUUUAUUGAGAUAUUUUAGUGUAUAUUGGGUUGACAUUAGGUUUGCAAAAAUAAGACACUGGAGAACAACUUCAAAGGAUACCAAGUUUUGGGGGAGGCUGACAUGUGAACAAAUGCUUAUAUUUUAGGGUAAAUAAGAGCAAUAAUAUAAGUAUGUACAAGAUCUAUGAUGUCACAGUGUGUGGGGGGAGUAACUUACUGUUCAGAGUAGGGAAGAGGACCUGGUCAGGGAGGUUAUCUGGGUCUUGUCACAAGAGGCAUUAGCCAGGUGGAUGGAUUGGUAUAGAACUGGGAAAGAAGAGGCAUUCCAAACAAAAUAAACUGCAGAUGCAAGGUAUAGAAGUGUGGAAUGUAGGUUGGAGGAACCCGAAAAAAGUUUAGAAUGGUUGAAGGAUGAAAUAAGGUUAUAUCUGAGUGGGAUGCAAUGGUAAGAUGUUAAAUUGGAGAGGUAGGUAGAGGGCAGAUUAAUGAAGGCCUAUGUAUCAUGCCUACUAAGGAUGGGGAGCAUUCAGAAUAGUGGUUUGGAGCAAGAAUUGGAGGGAAGAGACUUCGGUAUGGAGCAAUUAAGUGGCCCAGAUGAGAGAUGAUGCUGGUCUUAACUGAGAGCAAAAACGGGGAUAGAAAGGAUAGGAGGAGUUUUAGAAAUAUUUAGGAUAUAUAGUCAGAAUUUGCUUAUCUGCUGGAUGUGGGAUGAAAGUGCAAAGAUGAUUCUUAGGUUUCUGUUUAACCUCACUGCCAUCAAAUCCAUCAUCCCACUCAGUGUUGGUAUCAUGAACUGAAAUUGAGAGAAUUCUGGAAAAGAGCAGAUUUUUGACAGGAUGGUGAUGGAGAGGAAGGAACCGCAGAGCGUGGUUUUAGACAGGAUUCAGGGGAUCCGGGAAGACAUUAGUAAAGUGUUAUCCAGGAAGAAUACUUUCUUUUUUACUUCCUGUCCUCAGCAAAAUUGUAAGCUUCUUAAGAGCAAGGAUCGUGUUUUUCUUAUCAUCUACUUUUCAGCAUAGUGUUGAACUCCCUUAAUAAGAGUAAGGUGUCUAUCAAAUAUUUGUUUCAUGAAGUAGAGAUGGUGAGAGAAAAUGCUUACACAUUUGAAGAUACCCUAAUUGACCAUCUUCUCUAUAUCCAUCUGACAGUGAUCAGAGUAGGCAAUUUUUGACCUAAGUUCACUUAUAUUUGUUGUUUUUGGCUAAUUUCUAGUUUUAUAUAUGUUUUAAAUCUUGAAGGAUACACAAAGUCCUUUAUACAGACAUCACCUUCAGGGAGAGGAGCUAGGUAGCUGAGGGUCAAAAGUGGAAGAGGAAUUUACUUUUAACUAGAUAUCUGUUUUAGUCCAUUUGGGCUGUUAUAACAAAAUGCCACAGACUGGGUAGCUUAUACACAGUAGAAAUUUAUUUCUCACAGUACUGGAGGCUGAGAAGUCCAAGAUCAAGGAACCCUCAGAUUCAGUGUCUGAUGACGACCUGAUUCCUAGUUCAUAGGUGACCAUUUUUUCACUGUGCCCUCACAUGGGCAGAAAGGGGAAUCAAGCUUUCUGGAGUCUCUAUUAUAAGGCACUAAACUCAUUUCAUGAGGGCUCUGCCAUCAUGACCUAAUCAUUUCCCAAAGGCCCCACCUCCAGAUACCAUCACAUUGAGAACUGUUUCAACAUUGCAACUAGGAGGAUACAAACAUUCUGUCUACAGCAGUGUGAUUUGUAUAUCCCACCCUGAUACGUGGAAUCAACAAUUUCUCCAAGGAGUACAAAUUUCUUUUAGUGGGAAUGGUAUUUAGAAACCAAAAUUUAGGUGCUUGUGGUGCUUAUUACUACUGGAGUGUUCUUGCUUCUAGGCCUUUUAAUUAGAAGAAAGAAGUAUAUUCUUUAAAAAGUUAUGAAGGUGAUUAGAGACUAGGUUUUUUGAGCCAACCCUCCUGCUGAAAAUAACUAGAAGAGCUAGAUUAAAAGUAUAACCAUUUGAAAUUACUGAAAACUACCAAGGUAGUGAAGAAUUGCAAAAUCAAGAUCUGAGAGAAGUGGGAAGCUCAAUUACAUGAGCCCAGUCAUUUGGGACCAGUGUUUCCCCCUAAAGAGAUCCUCUAAUUCCUCAUGCAGUAUUGAGAAACUGAGAAUUUGAGGAGAGAUUUUGACAUCCUGUGGUUAGGGGGUUCAAAAAUUGGAGUUCAGGGCACACAAAGGAUGAGGGACUCAUUUAAGUCCCCAAGGAUUUUGGUUAGAACUCUGAAAGGAUACACCUUAGUGGUAACUGUGAACUGGAAAUAAACCGGCCUUUACAAAGACUGAUGUCCAGUGUCAAAUCGUCCCUAUCCCUGAUUGGAUUUAUUAAGCUUAAUUAAUAACCAGUUGUCAGUGUUCUUAGGCUAGAUGUUUGCCUGAAGCAAAUUAGGUCUUCUCUGGGAGAAGAUAACAUCAUGCAGAGACACGUUCAUCCUGUGGGUUUUCACAUACAAAGUUCAGAAUUCAAAAAAAAAAGACAUUGAUUCCUAGGAAAUCUUUAUGUAUCCUGGAUACAGGUCUUUAUAUAUUCUGGAUACCAAGGCUUUAUAAAUGCUUUUGUUCCCAUUUAUGUGGUUACAAAUAGCUUCUCCAAUUUUCUGAACUUUUUCCUUCCUUUAAAUGGUAUCUUAUGAUGAGUAAAAAUUCUUAAUUUCAGUAUAGAUAAGAAUAUCACUCUGUUCCUUUAUGCUUAUUGAUUUUUGUGUCUUUUAAAAGAAAUCCUUUCCUAAAAAAAAAAAAGAAGAAAUCCUUUCCUAAUCUGAAAUCAUAAAGGUAUUCUCCUAUACUGUCUUCUUAAAGUAACAUAGUUUUGCAUUCUGUAUUUAAGUCUUCAAUCCAUUUAAUUAAUUUCAAUGAAGGAUGAGAACAGGAAUUCAAUCAUCUUGUUUUCCAUUUGGCUUACCAUUUGUUUCCACACUGUUUAUAGAAAACACACUUUUAUUUGUUUUAGUUUCCUGUGCCUAGUUGGCUUGACAUGUAGUAGACUCUAUGAAUGAAUUUGAAUAAAGUAUAUAUCUUGAUAGUGUGAAAUUCUCUGUAGAGUUCUUAUGGUUUUCACAGCAUACUGUCUGAUUUACAAUUUGAUUUUUCUUUAUACUGUACUCCUUGCUUAUGUUCUGCUUAACUUAUCAAUUAUAAAUGCUUUUUGUUUAUUACUAAAACUCUAUUGGAACUAAAUAAAGGUUUGUUAAUUUUC